GCCCGAUUAGCUCAGCUGGUUAGAGCGUCGUACUAAUAUCCUCUCCGGAAUACUAAGUAAAUGCGAAGGUCAACAGUUCAAUUCUGUUAUUGGGCA
Lasiosphaeria hispida is the source of this 96-nucleotide non-coding RNA. The record is from the annotation of a GenBank genome assembly. Lineage: Eukaryota; Fungi; Ascomycota; Sordariomycetes; Sordariales; Lasiosphaeriaceae.